RNAcentral lists this ribosomal RNA (425 nucleotides) under uncultured bacterium. RNAcentral describes it as "bacterial SSU rRNA". It matches the Rfam family "Bacterial small subunit ribosomal RNA", at positions 354 to 796 of the family's 1533-position model. The record is from RNAcentral.
GUGGGGAAUUUUGCGCAAUGGGGGGAACCCUGACGCAGCAACGCCGCGUGCGGGACGAAGGCCUUCGGGUUGUAAACCGCUUUCAGCAGGGACGAAUUCCGACGGUACCUGCAGAAGAAGCCCCGGCUAACUACGUGCCAGCAGCCGCGGUAAUACGUAGGGGGCGAGCGUUAUCCGGAUUCAUUGGGCGUAAAGCGCGCGUAGGCGGCGCGCCAAGCGGGACCUCUAACCCCGGGGCUCAACCCCGGGCCGGGUCCCGGACUGGCGCGCUCGAGUGCGGUAGAGGCGAGUGGAAUUCCCGGUGUAGCGGUGGAAUGCGCAGAUAUCGGGAAGAACACCGAUGGCGAAGGCAGCUCGCUGGGCCGCCACUGACGCUGAGGCGCGAAAGCUGGGGGAGCGAACAGGAUUAGAUACCCGGGUAGUCC